Molecule: ribosomal RNA, 299 nt
Filed under: uncultured bacterium
Lineage: Bacteria
Description: partial 16S ribosomal RNA
Rfam family: Bacterial small subunit ribosomal RNA
Source: RNAcentral
GUCCUACGGGGCGCAGCAGCGGGGAAUAUUGCACAAUGGGGGAAACCCUGAUGCAGCGACGCCGCGUGAGCGAGGAAGUACCUCGGUAUGUAAAGCUCUGUCAGCAGGGAAGAAAAUGACAGUACCUGACCAAGAAGCCCCGGCUAACUACGUGCCAGCAGCCGCGGUAAUACGUAGGGGGCAAGCGUUAUCCGGAUUCACUGGGCGUAAAGGGAACGCAGGCGGCACGGCAAGUCUGAUGUGAAAACCCGGGGCUCAACCCCGGGACUGCAUUGGUAAAGGCCGGGCUGGAGUGUCGG